Salvia hispanica is the source of this 314-nucleotide long non-coding RNA. RefSeq lists it as uncharacterized. The record is from RefSeq and is a predicted model, not a curated record. Lineage: Eukaryota; Viridiplantae; Streptophyta; Magnoliopsida; Lamiales; Lamiaceae.
UUCCUAAAGGGACGUCUUCGAACGUCAUCUAAGACCAAGUUAAGGAAAUUUCCGGAAGGAGCUUUAGCUUUUGAGGUUGAACGUGGACGGGCAGGCGAUGGUGUUGGGUAUGAAUCCUCGAAUUAGACAAUAGGUAGCCCAGGGUAGUAUGUCUCCAUACAUACUGCUUUGUCUUGGACGUUUCCGCUGUAAUAGGAUUUUAUGUUAGAAGGAUUGUGAACCUAGACCGCACUCUGACUUUAUGUUGUCCCAUUUCACUUUCACCUGCGAGACUUUUGUCCUAGGUUUCAUCUUAUAAAUCAUGUUUAUUUUCA